RNAcentral lists this unclassified non-coding RNA (25 nucleotides) under Mus musculus (house mouse). RNAcentral describes it as "oocyte_clustered_small_RNA4898". Lineage: Eukaryota; Metazoa; Chordata; Mammalia; Rodentia; Muridae. The record is from RNAcentral.
UAAUUAACUGUUAAAAGACACUGAA